Molecule: long non-coding RNA, 612 nt
Organism: Oncorhynchus tshawytscha (Chinook salmon)
Lineage: Eukaryota; Metazoa; Chordata; Actinopteri; Salmoniformes; Salmonidae
Source: Ensembl
GUUAGACACUGAUCUGGGAGCAGCAGGUUAGACACUGACCUGGGAGCAGCAGGUUAGACACUGAUCUGGGAGCAGCAGGUUAGACACUGAUCUGGGAGCAGCAGGUUAGACACUGAUCUGGGAGCUGCAGGUUAGUGUUUGGUGCCAACACGGAGGUUAGACACUGAUCUGGGAGCAGCAGGUUAGUGUUUGGUGCCAGUGGUUAGUUUGCUGAAGUGUAGUGUAUAUCUGUUGCUCGGGGUCACUGUCCCCCUUUAACACCAAGCAUGAGGCCUAAAGGCAGCGAUGGACUCGGGUAACGAACUAAUGAAACAGAAGAGAACCCCGUUCUAUCUACGACGUGACCCGUUUUGUCCUGUCAUGGAAACUCAGUGGAUGAGGUCUUCGAGAUUUGAUCGAUUCUGUCUCCCCCAAAAAAAAAAACGUCAAAACGUCCUUGUCACUGUUGUGUGAAGUCUUAUGGUGUUGUAAGUGUUGAUGAUGAUGAUAUUGAUGAUGAUGAUGAUGAUAUUGAUGAUGAUGAUGAUGAUCAUGAUAUUGAUGAUGAUCAUGAUAUUGAUGAUGAUGAUAUUGAUGAUGAUGAUGAUGAUAUUGAUGAUGAUGAUGAUGAUC